This 812-nucleotide ribosomal RNA is filed under the name uncultured bacterium. Its description in RNAcentral is "bacterial SSU rRNA". It matches the Rfam family "Bacterial small subunit ribosomal RNA", at positions 8 to 796 of the family's 1533-position model. The record is from RNAcentral.
AGAGUUUGAUCCUGGCUCAGGAUGAACGCUGGCGGCGUGCCUAAUACAUGCAAGUCGGGCGGCAGCGAGUUUUGCACUAUUUGCUUGAGUGAUGAGAUUUAUCUCAUUGUAACCUCGAGUAAGUGGUGCAGAAUGUCGGCGAGCGGCGGACGGCUGAGUAACGCGUGGGAACGUGCCCCAAAGUGAGGAAUAACUGCCCGAAAGGGUAGCUAAUGCCGCAUAUGGUCUUCGGAUUAAAGCUUUCGAGCGCUUUGGGAGCGGCCCGCGUCUGAUUAGAUAGUUGGUGAGGUAAUGGCUCACCAAGUCGACGAUCAGUAGCUGGUCUGAGAGGAUGAUCAGCCAGACUGGAACUGAGACACGGUCCAGACUCCUACGGGAGGCAGCAGUAAGGAAUCUUCCGCAAUGGGGGCAACCCUGAUGGAGCAACGCCGCGUGAAGGAUGAAGGCCUUAGGGUCGUAAACUUCUUUUGUUAGCGAAGAAUAUGACGGUAACUAACGAAUAAGGGUCGGCUAACUACGUGCCAGCAGCCGCGGUCAUACGUAGGACCCAAGCGUUAUCCGGAGUGACUGGGCGUAAAGAGUUGCGUAGGCGGCUCGUUAAGUGGAUAGUGAAACCUGGUGGCUCAACCAUACAGACUAUUAUCCAAACUGGCGAGCUCGAGAAUGGUAGAGGUGGCUGGAAUUUCUAGUGUAGGAGUGAAAUCCGUAGAUAUUAGAAGGAACACCGAUGGCGUAGGCAGGCCACUGGACCAUUUCUGACGCUAAGGCACGAAAGCGUGGGGAGCGAACCGGAUUAGAUACCCUGGUAGUCC